Molecule: ribosomal RNA, 324 nt
Filed under: uncultured cercomonad
Lineage: Eukaryota; Cercozoa; Cercomonadida; Cercomonadidae
Description: SSU rRNA
Rfam family: Eukaryotic small subunit ribosomal RNA (bases 108-324)
Source: RNAcentral
GAUUUCUGGUUUGGCGCACUUGGCCCGUCUCGGUUUACGGGAUUGUGUGCCGGUGUGCGCCUUCCAUCCUUCGAGAGAACACUUCUGCCCUUUACUGGGUUUGGAGUGCUAUCUCGAUCUUUUACUUUGAAAAAAUUAGAGUGUUUCAAGCAGGCUUUAUGCUAUGAAUACAUUAGCAUGGAAUAAUAAUUUAGGACUUCGGUUCUAUUUUGUUGGUUUCUAGGACUGAAGUAAUGAUUGAUAGGGAUAGUUGGGGGUGCUAGUAUUCAGCGGCCAGAGGUGAAAUUCUCGGAUUCGCUGAAGACUAACUUAUGCGAAAGCAUU